GAUGAACGCUGGCGGCGUGCCUAAUACAUGCAAGUCGAGCGAACAGACGAGGAGCUUGCUCCUCUGACGUUAGCGGCGGACGGGUGAGUAACACGUGGAUAACCUACCUAUAAGACUGGGAUAACUUCGGGAAACCGGAGCUAAUACCGGAUAAUAUAUUGAACCGCAUGGUUCAAUAGUGAAAGACGGUUUUGCUGUCACUUAUAGAUGGAUCCGCGCCGCAUUAGCUAGUUGGUAAGGUAACGGCUUACCAAGGCGACGAUGCGUAGUCGACCUGACAGGGGGAUCGGCCACACUGGAACUGAGACACGGUCCAGACUCCUACGGGAGGGAGCAGUAGGGAAUCUUCCGCAAUGGGCGAAAGCCUGACGGAGCAACGCCGCGUGAGUGAUGAAGGUCUUCGGAUCGUAAAACUCUGUUAUUAGGGAAGAACAAAUGUGUAAGUAACUAUGCACGUCUUGACGGUACCUAAUCAGAAAGCCACGGCUAACUACGUG
This 497-nucleotide ribosomal RNA is filed under the name uncultured bacterium. RNAcentral describes it as "partial 16S ribosomal RNA". It matches the Rfam family "Bacterial small subunit ribosomal RNA", at positions 28 to 507 of the family's 1533-position model. The record is from RNAcentral.